AGGUUUUGUGGUCAAACCACGGGGUUGAAGAGGCGACUUGGGAAAAAGAGAUCGACAUGAGAGAGCGUUAUCCUAACCUUUUUGAAUCAAAUGAAGAUGGAGCUUGAUCUUAUCACUUCUUAAGCCAAUAAUCAUCAACUUUUGAAAAGUCAAGUAUUAUCUUUUGGAGCUUGGAUAUCAUUUUCUUUUGGGUAAUUGAAGAUCUACUUCUUUGAAGCUUGGAACCUUGAAGACUUUCUCUUUUGGAGCUUAUUUCCUUAAGUUCUUAUUAUCCUAUUAUUAUUCUCUUACUUGGUUUAGCACCACCUUCGGAGGAAAAUGUAUUUUGCAGGAAAAAUUAGCUCAGGUUUCGAUCCAGGCCGCAACUUUAAUUAUUCUAUCGAGGACUUAGCUUCAAUGAUUUUACUUGAUGACUAUAUUGUACUUAUGUUUUUUUAUCGUAUUUAAGUAAACCUUAUUUUAUAUUUUCUCAGUUGUAAGAUAUAUUUUUACUUAUGUUUUGAACAUUUUUUUAUUUCAAAUGGUUUUUAGCAGUUCGGCGUUUUACACUUCCGCAUUAUUUAUCUUAAGUAUAAUUAUUAAUGUUAAUUAUGUAACGAGAGU
Molecule: long non-coding RNA, 603 nt
Organism: Amaranthus tricolor (Joseph's coat)
Lineage: Eukaryota; Viridiplantae; Streptophyta; Magnoliopsida; Caryophyllales; Amaranthaceae
Exons: 3
Source: RefSeq, a predicted model, not a curated record